This is a long non-coding RNA of Phyllostomus discolor (pale spear-nosed bat), 555 nucleotides long. RefSeq lists it as uncharacterized. The record is from RefSeq and is a predicted model, not a curated record. The transcript is spliced from 2 exons. Lineage: Eukaryota; Metazoa; Chordata; Mammalia; Chiroptera; Phyllostomidae.
UGUGGUGGCAGGCAGGCAGGUUCCUACCGAGAGUCUUCAGCCAGGAUGGAGAUGUCUUCGGGCGUUGUCUCGUUGCGACGCUGUUCGCCGAAGACGGUCGGCCCCCCGGCCCGGAACCCGUCUCUGCCUCGGUCCCAGGCCCUCGUUUCUCAGACGGAGAUGCUGAGGCUUCGUGCGAAGCGCUGACUUGAUAAGAGCUGUGGAUUCUUAACAAGCCAAGUUGUAAGCGAUUCCUGGGAAGCGCGGCUCCAGGGACUCCUGGAGGAAUCUGUACAGAUGGCAGUGGGAACCCUGAGGAAGUUAAAGAUCAAGGAGAGUUUCGACAGUUCAGGAAGCCAUCACAGGUCCCUCCUGCAAGAAGUCAAUUUUCUGUCCUCUGAAACCCCCAAGCGCUUUUCCUAUAUGACCUUACUUUUCACGGUAUGUUCAGGCCCCACUGCCCACUGAAUAUUUUCCUUCUGGAAGGAUCUGACCUCCUGUUGUGCCCACAUGCUCAUCCCUGUACAUGAGUAGGUACUCAAUAAACAUUUUAAAAUAAGUGUCAGUUUAUCAAUA